GGCCCUCGUGUGUGUGUGUGUGUGUGUGUGUGUGUGUGUGUGUGUGUGUGUGUGUGUGCGCGCACAUGCGCACUCCCAAGCAAUGCUCAG
RNAcentral lists this microRNA precursor (90 nucleotides) under Sorex araneus (European shrew). Its description in RNAcentral is "miRNA (ENSSARG00000016954.1)". Lineage: Eukaryota; Metazoa; Chordata; Mammalia; Eulipotyphla; Soricidae. The record is from RNAcentral.